AAUUCUCAACCUUUACCUGCUUUUGUUAGCCGGGUGAGGCUUGGAUGUUGAGGGCUUGCUGGCUUCCUUCAGUGGAUGGUCUGCUCCCUUUAAAUGCAUUAGUGGGAUCCUUUGUGGACGGUCACUUGGUGUAAUAAUUAUCUACGCCGCCUGGCUGCGAAGCAAGACUUGUGGGAGCCUGCUUAUAACCGUCUCUCUCUUUGAGACAAUUUACUUGACU
Molecule: unclassified non-coding RNA, 220 nt
Filed under: uncultured Agaricales
Lineage: Eukaryota; Fungi; Basidiomycota; Agaricomycetes; Agaricales
Description: sequence contains ITS2
Source: RNAcentral